CACGCGACACACACAUAUCUGUGUGUGGGCGGGCGGCGUGGUGGCGCUGUGCCGGCAUGGCGGCGCUUCUACCAGGAACAUGGACAGCGCAGGCAGCCGGACGUGCUCCAAAUCGUCAAUCUCCACCCAUGUACCGUCCUGCAGAUCCAGAUAAGAAAAGAGAGAUUAGCACUCUCCCAGCUUCUGGGAGUUGGCAAGCUGGGACAUGGGAGACCAACAGGGAAGGCAACACAGUCCAGCCGUGGCCAUGAUGCACCUCCUUGGAAAAAUUCCAAAUACGUUUUUUCUUCAGGUUAUGUAGACCCUCACCUGUGCUUUUCACGGUGACGGUGCUGACUAUAUAUCACAUCUUCUGAAGUUUGUAGCUGUUUGUAUAUGGCCUCUGUCUGCCAACGACAAUGGUAACCAA
This is a long non-coding RNA of Lolium rigidum, 409 nucleotides long. RefSeq lists it as uncharacterized. The transcript is spliced from 3 exons. NCBI's taxonomy places the organism in Eukaryota, Viridiplantae, Streptophyta, Magnoliopsida, Poales, Poaceae. The record is from RefSeq and is a predicted model, not a curated record.